GAUGAACGCUGGCGGUGUGCCUAAUACAUGCAAGUCGUACGCAUUCUCGUUUCUGAUUGACGGUGCUUGCACCUAAUUGACGAGACAUUGGAAUGAGUGGCGGACGGGUGAGUAACACGUGGGUAACCUGCCCAGAAGUGGGGGAUAACAUUUGGAAACAGAUGCUAAUACCGCAUAAAAGUCAAAACCACAUGGUUUUGAUUUAAAAGAUGGCCUUUGUGCUAUCACUUCUGGAUGGACAUGCGGCGUAUUAGCUAGUUGGUAAGGUAACGGCGUACCAAGGCAAUGAUAAUGAGCCGAACUGAGAGGGUGAUCGGCCACAAUGGGACUGAGACACGGCCCAUACUCCUACGGGAGGCAGCAGUAGGGAAUCUUCCACAAUGGGCGCAAGCCUGAUGGAGCAACACCGCGUGAGGGAAGAAGGGUUUCGGCUCGUAAAACUCUGUUGUUAAAGAAGAACGUAUCUAAGAGUAACUGCUUAGGUAGUGACGGUAUUUAACCAGAAAGCCACGGCUAACUACGUGCCAGCCGCCGCGGUAA
Molecule: ribosomal RNA, 540 nt
Filed under: uncultured bacterium
Lineage: Bacteria
Description: partial 16S ribosomal RNA
Rfam family: Bacterial small subunit ribosomal RNA
Source: RNAcentral